Molecule: ribosomal RNA, 335 nt
Filed under: Collinsella sp. HGA0056
Lineage: Bacteria; Bacillati; Actinomycetota; Coriobacteriia; Coriobacteriales; Coriobacteriaceae
Description: bacterial SSU rRNA
Rfam family: Bacterial small subunit ribosomal RNA
Source: RNAcentral
AACACGUGGAGAACCUGCCCCCUCCCCCGGGAUAGCCGCCCGAAAGGACGGGUAAUACCGGAUACCCCCGGGCGCCGCAUGGCGCCCGGGCUAAAGCCCCGACGGGAGGGGAUGGCUCCGCGGCCCAUCAGGUAGACGGCGGGGUGACGGCCCACCGUGCCGACAACGGGUAGCCGGGUUGAGAGACCGACCGGCCAGAUUGGGACUGAGACACGGCCCAGACUCCUACGGGAGGCAGCAGUGGGGAAUCUUGCGCAAUGGGGGGAACCCUGACGCAGCGACGCCGCGUGCGGGACGGAGGCCUUCGGGUCGUAAACCGCUUUCAGCAGGGAAGA